CUAAAACCACUCUGAGUGGAGAACAGCAUUUUAAACAACAACAUUUAUCUGAGAAAAGGAGUCAUCAGAGAGAAGAAUCUGACGACUUUAAACCUGAAACCAGCUGUGUGUCUAUGAAGAGUGAUCACUCAAAGGAUGAACUCAUUGACUUUAAAAAACAAGAACCCUCAACUGUGAAGAAGAUACAACAGAAACCAGACUCACAAGAACUAGAACGUGAACCCAGCUCUUUGAAGAGAGAUUGGUUGUUUAACUUUGAAUGGCUGUUACCUUCCUUCAUGAAAGUGAAGCAGCAUCAAACACAGCAGGACUCCAUAUUUAAGGUCUGUACAUGGAC
This is a long non-coding RNA of Mugil cephalus (flathead mullet), 337 nucleotides long. RefSeq lists it as uncharacterized. The record is from RefSeq and is a predicted model, not a curated record. The transcript is spliced from 4 exons. NCBI's taxonomy places the organism in Eukaryota, Metazoa, Chordata, Actinopteri, Mugiliformes, Mugilidae.